GGAUUUGAUGCACUUCUUCUUCGGAGUCGAUGCUUAGAUUUUUAAGAUGUUCGAUAAAGAUCCUUCUCAACUCACUGUAGCCAGAAGUGGCGAGUCGAGACAAAGAAUAAGCUCGAGUGUUCUUCAAAUGGGGGAUGUGAAAGAUCUCAAAAUAGUUAAAAUUUAUUUGUAGAGAUCUAAGUUUCUAUAAGUACCUGAGAAGAAUAGGAUCUC
RNAcentral lists this long non-coding RNA (213 nucleotides) under Elaeis guineensis (African oil palm). Its description in RNAcentral is "long non-coding RNA (EGUI_LNC028535)". The record is from RNAcentral. Lineage: Eukaryota; Viridiplantae; Streptophyta; Magnoliopsida; Arecales; Arecaceae.